ACUGGUCAGCUAGAGUCUUGUAGAGGGGGGUAGAAUUCCAUGUGUAGCGGUGAAAUGCGUAGAGAUGUGGAGGAAUACCGGUGGCGAAGGCGGCCCCCUGGACAAAGACUGACGCUCAGGUGCGAAAGCGUGGGGAGCAAACAGGAUUAGAUACCCUGGUAGUCCACGCUGUAAACGAUGUCGACUUGGAGGUUGUGCCCUUGAGGCGUGGCUUCCGGAGCUAACGCGUUAAGUCGACCGCCUGGGGAGUACGGCCGCAAGGUUAAAACUCAAAUGAAUUGACGGGGGCCCGCACAAGCGGUGGAGCAUGUGGUUUAAUUCGAUGCAACGCGAAGAACCUUACCUACUCUUGACAUCCAGAGAACUUAGCAGAGAUGCUUUGGUGCCUUCGGGAACUCUGAGACAGGUGCUGCAUGGCUGUCGUCAGCUCGUGUUGUGAAAUGUUGGGUUAAGUCCCGCAACGAGCGCAACCCUUAUCCUUUGUUGCCAGCGCGUGAUGGCGGGAACUCAAAGGAGACUGCCGGUGAUAAACCGGAGGAAGGUGGGGAUGACGUCAGGUCUUCCUGGCCCUUCCGAGUAGGGCUACCCCCGUGCUACAAUGG
RNAcentral lists this ribosomal RNA (602 nucleotides) under Morganella sp. ST12.14/404. RNAcentral describes it as "bacterial SSU rRNA". It matches the Rfam family "Bacterial small subunit ribosomal RNA", at positions 632 to 1233 of the family's 1533-position model. Lineage: Bacteria; Pseudomonadati; Pseudomonadota; Gammaproteobacteria; Enterobacterales; Morganellaceae. The record is from RNAcentral.